AAACCUUAAAUCCCUAACUCUUAACCACUAACAUCUAACUCAUAAACCCCUAACCCCUAAACCGUAAAUCCCGGCCAACCCUUAAUUAAACCAUAAUCCCUAAUCCAUAAUCCCUAGCUAAAUCCAUAUAUACUACCUAAACCUUAAAAUAUGAACUCCUAAACCGGCCUUAAAUCUUAAAUUUAUCAUAUACCCUAAACUAAUUAAAAACCCUAAACAAUUUUAUUAUUAUCUCUUUUACAAUUACAUAUAUAAUAACAUAUUUAAAAUAUAAAUAAAAAAUAAUCUAAAGCCAAAACCCUAACCCGACCCCUAAAUUCGUAAACCCCAAAUCCCUAACUCUUAACCCCUAACAUCUAACCCCUAAACCCCUAACCCCUAAACCUUAAAUCCCAACCCUUAAUUAAACCAUAAUCCCUAAUCCAUAAUCC
RNAcentral lists this long non-coding RNA (431 nucleotides) under Gossypium raimondii (Peruvian cotton). RNAcentral describes it as "long non-coding RNA (GRAI_LNC003680)". Lineage: Eukaryota; Viridiplantae; Streptophyta; Magnoliopsida; Malvales; Malvaceae. The record is from RNAcentral.